This is a long non-coding RNA of Numida meleagris (helmeted guineafowl), 1131 nucleotides long. RefSeq lists it as uncharacterized. The record is from RefSeq and is a predicted model, not a curated record. The transcript is spliced from 3 exons. Lineage: Eukaryota; Metazoa; Chordata; Aves; Galliformes; Numididae.
UGUCUUUCCAGUGUUUUGGAACUUGGCUUACACAUGACAGUAGUCUUGCUUUUUUACGCUAGAAAGUGGGAAAACACUUUUGCUUUCCUCAGAAACGUGUUAAAAUCUAAAUAAAAUGAAUUUUACUAAAAGAUUAAAACAGAAAUGGAAAAGGAAAGGAUUUGAACCUUCAAAUUCAGUGGGGAGAUUUGCUUUUGUGAAGCCUCAAAACAUCAUUUUCAACUCUAGAGUAUAAAGUGAUCUCAAAAGUUAGGGAACUCAUCAGCUGAAGGUCAGUGAUAGCUUCUCCUCUAGCCCUUCCUCAAAACCAAAUUUGAGGUGUCAUGCCAGAUUCAUUGAUUAAUAGGAAUUCCCAUGUCUAUUUCAAGAUCAAAACUAUGCGACACUUACCAAAAUCAAAAUUAUUGCAUGUGUCUUGGAAUUUUUAAUAGUCCUUUUAAAAUAAACGUAAUGAACUUGUUUCUUGAUUUGCACGUUUCUUUGUAUUAAUAGAGCAAAGAAUAAUUUUAUGCCAUAUUUUACUCUUGCUUUUCAGAGUUAUUCUUUGGAAUUUGAAGAAGAGAUCUCAGUGUAGCACCACCAUAUUUGACCUACAAUAAUGAAAGGCAACUGCCAAGUUCUGAAGGCCACUGCUUGUCCGCUUCUUUCUUGCUGCUUCUGUCAGUACCAGGACAGCACAGCUUCAGGACUCCUCCUGUGACCCAGCUUGAAAGAGCAGGAAUGGAUAGUGGUCCUCCAGCUUUAGAAUACCUGGGAUGAGGAGAUGAUUCCAAAAGAGUCAGAAUGUGGCAGAAAUGAAAAAAUUACAGAUCUUCAUUUGACUUACUAAUCAAGAGAGGAGUGAACAGUUGACACACAGUACAGGAAACAAUUGAAGUCUUUCAUUCCAUUUUGAAGAUUUUUGUUUCUUUGAAGGAGGAGUACUCUUUCUGCAGAUCUAAGCUCUUGUUGACACCACUGAUUAAUUUACUCCAGAUCAGGACCCAUUUUCCCACCCCCUCUUCAUUUGAUUUAUUAUUUCUCUUUUUAGAAACCUAACAUGAACACCUCACAAAACAUUAUUUACAGAACUGUCAGCACUUUUAUACAAUGUAGGUUAUGUGAUCUGUGCAAAAUACAUUAAUGUUAUUU